UAUGGCCGGAGCAGGGGUUCGUUCAGAGAAUCUGCAACGUUUCCUUGAUGCCGGGGUGCAGGAAGUGCACAGCUCCGCAGGAGCGUGGCAAGCCUCACCAAUGCGUUAUCGCAAUCAUGGAUUGUCCAUGUCAACUGACGCACAAGCGGACGAGUAUUCGCGCUAUGCGGUAGACGGGGCGGCGGUUGCUGAAAUGAAAGGAGUCAUUGUGCGCCAUCAGGCCAAUUGAUUUUUACCGUUGCAUCAUGUCGCCCAAUAUGAUGCUUGCUCGUACCAGGCCCCUGCCAUUUCAACAGGGGCCUUUUUUU
This is a small RNA of Citrobacter koseri ATCC BAA-895, 308 nucleotides long. It matches the Rfam family "MicL sRNA". From Rfam's summary of the family: mRNA-interfering complementary RNA regulator of Lpp. Transcription factor sigma E dependant sRNA. Together with MicA and RybB it allows sigma E to repress the synthesis of all abundant outer membrane proteins in response to stress. The record is from Rfam. Lineage: Bacteria; Pseudomonadati; Pseudomonadota; Gammaproteobacteria; Enterobacterales; Enterobacteriaceae.